AAAUUUCAAAAUAGUUUUGAAUUAUGAGAAAUUAGGAUAUGUGCUAGAUCAUGGAAUCCCCGUGUUACCAAUCUAUCCAAUCACUGAUCAGCGUAAGACGCAUGCUAAGUGGACGAACAAUGACAAUAAAGUUAGGUGCUGUACAAUGGCAUCCAUGUCCAAUGAAUUACAAUGCUAGCAUGAGAACAUGAGACUGCCAGGGACAUAUUAAAUCACCUGCAAGAGUUGUAUGGUGAUCAGAGUCACGCAGCUCGGUUUGAAGUUUCCAAGAGGCUCUU
RNAcentral lists this long non-coding RNA (278 nucleotides) under Phoenix dactylifera (date palm). RNAcentral's name for it is "long non-coding RNA (PDAC_LNC011168)". The record is from RNAcentral. Lineage: Eukaryota; Viridiplantae; Streptophyta; Magnoliopsida; Arecales; Arecaceae.